RNAcentral lists this ribosomal RNA (483 nucleotides) under uncultured bacterium. RNAcentral's name for it is "partial 16S ribosomal RNA". It matches the Rfam family "Bacterial small subunit ribosomal RNA", at positions 28 to 507 of the family's 1533-position model. The record is from RNAcentral.
AUUGAACGCUGGCGGCAUGCUUUACACAUGCAAGUCGAACGGCAGCGCGGGCUUCGGCCUGGCGGCGAGUGGCGAACGGGUGAGUAAUGCAUCGGAACGUGCCCAGUAGUGGGGGAUAGCCCGGCGAAAGCCGGAUUAAUACCGCAUACGACCUGAGGGUGAAAGCGGGGGCCGAAAAGCCUCGCGCUAUUUGAGCGGCCGAUGUCGGAUUAGCUAGUUGGUGGGGUAAAGGCUUACCAAGGCGACGAUCCGUAGCUGGUCUGAGAGGACGACCAGCCACACUGGGACUGAGACACGGCCCAGACUCCUACGGGAGGCAGCAGUGGGGAAUUUUGGACAAUGGGGGCAACCCUGAUCCAGCCAUGCCGCGUGCGGGAAGAAGGCCUUCGGGUUGUAAACCGCUUUUGUUCGGGAAGAAAUCCUCUGGGCUAAUACCCCGGGGGGAUGACGGUACCGGAAGAAUAAGCACCGGCUAACUACGUG